GGGGCAAGCGUUGUCCGGAUUUAUUGGGCGUAAAGAGCGUGUAGGCGGCCUUACAGGUCAGCUGUGAAAACUCGAGGCUCAACCUCGAGACGUCGGUUGAAACCGUAUGGCUAGAGUCCGGAAGAGGAGAGUGGAAUUCCCGGUGUAGCGGUGAAAUGCGCAGAUAUCGGGAAGAACACCCGUGGCGAAGGCGGCUCUCUGGGACGGUACUGACGCUGAGACGCGAAAGCGUGGGGAGCGAACAGG
RNAcentral lists this ribosomal RNA (246 nucleotides) under uncultured bacterium. RNAcentral describes it as "partial 16S ribosomal RNA". It matches the Rfam family "Bacterial small subunit ribosomal RNA", at positions 531 to 776 of the family's 1533-position model. The record is from RNAcentral.